RNAcentral lists this ribosomal RNA (253 nucleotides) under uncultured bacterium. RNAcentral's name for it is "partial 16S ribosomal RNA". It matches the Rfam family "Bacterial small subunit ribosomal RNA", at positions 524 to 776 of the family's 1533-position model. The record is from RNAcentral.
UACGUAGGGUGCGAGCGUUGUCCGGAAUUAUUGGGCGUAAAGGGCUCGUAGGCGGUCUGUUACGUCGGGAGUGAAAACUCGGGGCUCAACCCCGAGCCUGCUUCCGAUACGGGCAGACUAGAGGUAUGCAGGGGAGAAUGGAAUUCCUGGUGUAGCGGUGAAAUGCGCAGAUAUCAGGAGGAACACCGGUGGCGAAGGCGGGUCUCUGGGCAACAACUGACGCUGAGGAGCGAAAGCGUGGGGAGCGAACAGG